CUCAUGAUGAACGCUAGCUACAGGCUUAACACAUGCAAGUCGAGGGGCAUCAGGAAGAAAGCUUGCUUUCUUUGCUGGCGACCGGCGCACGGGUGAGUAACACGUAUCCAACCUGCCCCUUACUCGGGGAUAGCCUUUCGAAAGAAAGAUUAAUACCCGAUGGCAUAAUGAUUCCGCAUGGUUUCAUUAUUAAAGGAUUCCGGUAAAGGAUGGGGAUGCGUUCCAUUAGGUUGUUGGUGAGGUAACGGCUCACCAAGCCUUCGAUGGAUAGGGGUUCUGAGAGGAAGGUCCCCCACAUUGGAACUGAGACACGGUCCAAACUCCUACGGGAGGCAGCAGUGAGGAAUAUUGGUCAAUGGGCGCUAGCCUGAACCAGCCAAGUAGCGUGAAGGAUGAAGGCUCUAUGGGUCGUAAACUUCUUUUAUAUAAGAAUAAAGUGCAGUAUGUAUACUGUUUUGUAUGUAUUAUAUGAAUAAGGAUCGGCUAACUCCGUGCCAGCAGCCGCGGUAAUACGGAGGAUCCGAGCGUUAUCCGGAUUUAUUGGGUUUAAAGGGAGCGUAGGUGGACUGGCAAGUCAGUUGUGAAAGUUUGCGGCUCAACCGUAAAAUUGCAGUUGAUACUGUCAGUCUUGAGUACAGUAGAGGUGGGCGGGAAUUCGUGGUGUAGCGGUGAAAUGCUUAGAUAUCACGAAGAACUCCGAUUGCGAAGGCAGCUCACUGGACUGCAACUGACACUGAUGCUCGAAAGUGUGGGUAUCAAACAGGAUUAGAUACCCUGGUAGUCCACACAGUAAACGAUGAAUACUCGCUGUUUGCGAUAUACAGUAAGCGGCCAAGCGAAAGCAUUAAGUAUUCCACCUGGGGAGUACGCCGGCAACGGUGAAACUCAAAGGAAUUGACGGGGGCCCGCACAAGCGGAGGAACAUGUGGUUUAAUUCGAUGAUACGCGAGGAACCUUACCCGGGCUUAAAUUGCAGUGGAAUGAUGUGGAAACAUGUCAGUGAGCAAUCACCGCUGUGAAGGUGCUGCAUGGUUGUCGUCAGCUCGUGCCGUGAGGUGUCGGCUUAAGUGCCAUAACGAGCGCAACCCUUAUCUUUAGUUACUAACAGGUUAUGCUGAGGACUCUAGAGAGACUGCCGUCGUAAGAUGUGAGGAAGGUGGGGAUGACGUCAAAUCAGCACGGCCCUUACGUCCGGGGCUACACACGUGUUACAAUGGGGGGUACAGAAGGCAGCUAGCGGGUGACCGUAUGCUAAUCCCAAAAGCCUCUCUCAGUUCGGAUCGAAGUCUGCAACCCGACUUCGUGAAGCUGGAUUCGCUAGUAAUCGCGCAUCAGCCACGGCGCGGUGAAUACGUUCCCGGGCCUUGUACACACCGCCCGUCAAGCCAUGGGAGCCGGGGGUACAUGAAGUACGUAACCGCAAGGAUCGUCCUAGGGUA
RNAcentral lists this ribosomal RNA (1439 nucleotides) under uncultured organism. RNAcentral describes it as "16S ribosomal RNA". It matches the Rfam family "Bacterial small subunit ribosomal RNA". The record is from RNAcentral.